Sciurus carolinensis (gray squirrel) is the source of this 2387-nucleotide long non-coding RNA. RefSeq lists it as uncharacterized. The record is from RefSeq and is a predicted model, not a curated record. The transcript is spliced from 2 exons. NCBI's taxonomy places the organism in Eukaryota, Metazoa, Chordata, Mammalia, Rodentia, Sciuridae.
CCUUGGAAAGAUAAGGCUCUGGCAGUGGUGAGCAAAGAGAGGAGGGAGUUCUUGGUUGCUAACAGCAGCCCUGGACUGGAAUCUGUCAGCAGCAUGACAGGACUUGAAGGGUUUUACAGGCAGGCAUGAUGGUGUUUAUCCAGAGUGUCAGACAGAAACCACUGCGCCGACCCCAUGUGACUAAUGAGCCCAGGCAGAUGCGCAGGAAGAAACUCUCAGCAGACAGAGAAAACAGAACCCCAAACAAGUAAACAAAAAAACCCACCUUCCCUGUUUUCUUAGUUGUUUCCUUCAUUUGUCCUCAAAUGACAUUCUUAUGUGUAACCCAAAAGCAAAAGAGAAGCAGAACAUUAGCUUUGGAGAGAAAAACCUAAAAAAGUAAAACCGUGGGUUGAAACAUCAUUUCAAAAUGUCCUGGGAUGAUAAUUAGACAUGCUUUAGUAGAGAGGUACAGACUCAAAAAUACAUGAUUUCCAUUUUCAAGGAAAAACAAUGAUUCAAAAAAAAAAAAAUUAAAUGAGUUGUUUGCAUUUACCUUAAAAAUUAGUCUUUUUGGUGGUGUUUUAAAAAUUUUAGUACCAUCCCUGUUGAUAUAGUAAUUUGUUAAUAAUAAAGUUCUAAGAUUUGUGAAUGGCUUAGUUGGUGAAAAUGAGUGGAGCACAUUAGAGGUGAUUCAGUAGUGACACUACGGGCUGGGGUGGGUGUGGCUCCAUGGUGGACUGCUGGCCUUGGAUGUGCAAGGUCUUGGGUUUGAACUCUAGCACUGCAUAAGAAUAAAAAAAUGGUGUUACUCAUUUGCAUUCUGAUACUGCCUUGGGUGGAUCAGGGAGGUAGAUUCCAUUAGGGAAUGAGAAAGGAUCCUCAGUGUGAGCUUGUCCAUGGGAGGGCAUGAGCUUGUGAAAGUCCAGUCACACAUGUGCUGGAAAAGUAUCAGGAGCCACUACUUUGGAGGCUAUGCUUACAUGAGCUGCAGUAACUACAAUAUUGUUAUUCUUGAAUUUAAAGUAGAUAUUAUGAAUAGCAAAUUGUUUUUAUGUAGUAACUUCACUUUUGCAGCAAAAUUAAUUGAAAACCUCAUAACAGGAUAAAUAAUAAUUUAAUCAAUGCAGUCACAUCAACACACAUCUGGCAAAUUGGAAAGUCGAAGGAGCCUUUCAGAUAUUGUAAGAGAAGAGAACGAAAAUUGUCUUUAGUGUCUAGCAUUUCAGGAAGGUAUUGGUUUCUAAAUCUAUUUUGUUUGGAUUGGAAGUUUUUGUUUUUUUGUUUAUUUUUGGUGUUUUUCUAGUUCUCAAAGUUUUAUCAGAUAGAAAUAUGUUCAAACAUCAAGCAAAAUGGAAGCAAAAGUUUGCAACAAAGGAAACAAAGGGAAAAAUUGCUGUGAAUAAUUUAGAUUCAAUGAUCAGUGACUCUUACCAGCUUGUCUGAAGACAUUGUAGUUAAAGAUUUUCUAUAUAAAUCAAAACAUUUGUAAUGUACCUUACUAUAUACCUUGAAAGCUGGCCUAUCAUUCAGCUAGACAACUGUGUGAAUUUACUACAAGAUUUCCAACCCCUCCACCCAACUGGUGUCACCGUCUUGAAACAUGUACUGAAAUAAUAUCAGAAUAACAUCAGACCUUUGGAGUGAGUCACACCCCUUCAUGCAGAAUCAGCUACAAUAAAGAGCCUGGGUCCAGGCCUCACUGUUCAGAUUUAAGAAGGAGGAAUGUCAGCUAAAAGCAAGUUCUGAAGUUCUGAAGAAACUUAUUUUUGUGGCAUUCCUUUGGAGACAGAAGGGCACAGUGUUUAUUGAGAUACAAAUCCCAAAUUGGGGUAGAUGGUGCUCACCAGUGCCUUGGCACAGCGUUCCAUCCAGGUAGACUGGAAGCAUUAUCUCCCCUUUAUUCCAGAUGUCUCUCUGAGUCUUCUUAGAAUUCACAACGUUUGCCUAGGAGAGUAUUCCAAGGAACCAAAUAAACAUAAAUGAGUGAAAGCAUCUAGUUAAUAGUCUGUCUGCCCUGACCUUAUCCAGCACCUCAUCCACCCAGAAUGAUCCUAAGACCCAAGAUACUUCCCUCCUGUACGGGAGGAUGCAAAAAAGGAAUCAGCUGGAAAAAAAAAAAAAAGUAAAAAUACUGUUGAAAAUUCAUAUGCAAGCCAUUUUUACAUCACAUUCCUUAACAACUAUUCAUUAUGGAGAAUUCAUCUUUUACCAAAUGGUUAAGGAAGUACUCAUAUAUUUAUUGCCAGUUUUAUUAUAACAAUGGUACACUGCUUAUGUUUAAUAUAUACUGUUUAAAAUGUAUAAUACAUUGAGUCACAGAACAGUUCAAAUUUUUUUUCUGUUUAAAACAACUUUUAUUUUUGGUGAAAAAAAUGCAGAUUCAUUAUACAGAAAAUAAAUGUUUA